GUUUUUCGCUUGAGGAUGAGUCCGCGUGAGAUUAGCUAGUUGGUGAGGUAAUGGCUCACCAAGGCAACGAUCUCUAACUGGUCUGAGAGGAUGAUCAGUCACACUGGAACUGAGACACGGUCCAGACUCCUACGGGAGGCAGCAGUAGGGAAUAUUGCACAAUGGAGGAAACUCUGAUGCAGCGACGCCGCGUGAGUGAUGAAGGCCUUAGGGUCGUAAAGCUCUGUCGCAGGGGAAUAAAAAAAUG
This 247-nucleotide ribosomal RNA is filed under the name uncultured Bdellovibrio sp. Its description in RNAcentral is "partial 16S ribosomal RNA". It matches the Rfam family "Bacterial small subunit ribosomal RNA", at positions 210 to 456 of the family's 1533-position model. Lineage: Bacteria; Pseudomonadati; Bdellovibrionota; Bdellovibrionia; Bdellovibrionales; Pseudobdellovibrionaceae. The record is from RNAcentral.